RNAcentral lists this transfer RNA (65 nucleotides) under Berthellina sp. TLT-2006. Its description in RNAcentral is "tRNA-Gly". The record is from RNAcentral. Lineage: Eukaryota; Metazoa; Mollusca; Gastropoda; Pleurobranchida; Pleurobranchidae.
CUUUAGUAAGUAUAAUUUUGUAUAUUUGCCUUCCAAGCAAAAGGACUAUAAACGUAGACUAAAGA